RNAcentral lists this long non-coding RNA (2496 nucleotides) under Canis lupus familiaris (dog). RNAcentral describes it as "lncRNA (ENSCAFG00000051644.1, ENSCAFG00845016180.1)". The record is from RNAcentral. Lineage: Eukaryota; Metazoa; Chordata; Mammalia; Carnivora; Canidae.
GUGGCAUCCAGAGGGUCCUUCAAGAGCCCUCUGAGUCUACAGCAAAUUGAGAUGCAGGUACAAGGUUUGAGGGCUUCUAUUCCUAGCAGGAUUUCACAGAAAGUAGUGACAGGUUUAUUUGAGAGGCUGGCUGUUAAACCCCCAAAAAGCUGUUUGGUGACAGAAAAGGCCAUCCUCCCACAUCUCUAGCACUGUCUCCACUCACCUGAACACACCCUCUCUUUUCUUCCCACCUUCUGUGCCUGUAGCCUGUACUUUUCUCUUGGCCUUUACAUCUGCACUUAUGGUGAGCUACUUAGUGGAGGCAGGGGAUGGGAGGGCGUGUAACCUCAGGGGAACCAGCAUAUGCUAAUAGACAAAAUCCAUGACAGUAAGAACUGUGGCUUUACUUACUACAUAUUUUCCUUUGCCAAGAGUGAUAUAUUAGACAGUUGAGCCAGUUACUUGUCCAUUGGCUUUCAACUCCAUAAAUGCCUUUCCUUAUUACCCUCUGAUCAUGAAGAGCUAGAAGGCUACAAAGUCAACACUCUUCUCAGCCAGCUUCCUGUUAGCUUCUGUCAAUAGGAGAGGAGGAUGGGAAGAGUUUGGAAGAUGGAAGGGAGAGCCAUUUUUUCUUUUCUGCUUUUGGUGAUGCCUCCAGCAGAGGCAGCUCUCCUGGGCUCCACGGGCACUCCACAAGCAGCAGCACUUACACAUGACUUCACACACCCCAGGUGUAAUAAGAAUGUGUGCUCCUGGCUUCUUGGAGAGAAGUAGAGGUGGUAGUUGAAAGAGCAGUUUUAGUAGAGACCCCAUUAGUCUUAGUGGCCAAGGAACAUGGGCUCUGGGAAUACCAUUUUUCCUUAUGUUCCUCCAAUCCUAGGGGUAGACAGGGGCUUUAUGCAGUUGCUAAUCUCUGGGUUAUGUCACCACUUUUCAAUUCCAGACUCCUUUUGAGAUUAUUUGUUUACGGUUUUGUUGAGAUAUAUCAAAUGUAUUCAAACUACAUAAUCUGAUAAACUUUAAUAUAAGUAUAUGCUGUGAUACCAUCAUCACAGUAAAAAUAACUUGUUAUUUCCCAUGCUCCAAAAGUUUCUCAUGCUCCUUUGUAAUCUCUCCCUCUUCUUCCCCCACCACAGAUCUGCUUUCUGUCAUCAUAGCUUGCAUUUUCUAGUAUUUUAUAUAAAUAGAAUCAUACAGUAUGUAUUUCCUUUUCCUUAAUUUAAAUUCUUUUAAUUAGCAUAAUUAAACUGACCCAUGUUGCAUAUUUUAAUCAUUCAUUCCUUUUUUGUUGCUGAAGAAUAUUCUGUUGUAUAUAUGUAUCACAGUUUGUGUUUUCAUUCACCAAUUUUUUUUUUAAACAGAGAAAGAGUACAUAUGUGCAGAAAGGGGGUCAGAGGGAGAGAGAAAAUCUUAAGCAGGCUCCAUGCUCAGCACAGAGUCCCACCUGGACCUUGAUCUCAUGACCCUGGGAUCAUGACCUGAGACGAAAUCAAGAGUUGGACACUCAACAGACUGAGCCACCAAGGCACCCCUUCAUUCACCUUUUGAUGGACAUUUGUUUGUUUCCAGUUUUGAGCUGUUACAAAUAAAGCUGCUAGGUCACUUGUGUACGAGUCUGUGUAUGAAAUCUGCUUUCAUUUCUCUUGGGGAAAUACCUAAUCUGGGAAUGACUGGAUUAUAGGGUAGUUUUACAUUCUCACCAGCAGUACAUGAGAAUUCUAGUUGCUCCACAUUCUUGUCAACACUUGAGAUGGUUUGUUUUAACUUUAGCCAUUCUACUCCUUCCAGUACUUUUGUAACCAAGUCACUAAAUUAAAUUCCUGUUUAAGAUAACUAGAGUGAUUUCUUUUUUUUUCUCUCUAGUUUGGUGCUAAUUCCAUACAAAAAUUAUGUGACUCAACACUCAAUAUGUAUUGGAUGAAUAAAUGGAGAGGAAAGCUCUCACGGCUUGAAAGGAUGAAAGAUCACGUCUAGGCAGGCAGAAACUAGGAUGAAAUGAAAAUAUAAUAUCUCUAUUUGAAGCGUAGGCACAGGAGCGAAGCAAGAAAGGAUCUCUAGCACACACAUAGGUGAAGGUUCAGAGGUAUGAGAUGGGAAACAUUUAACAGAGAAGAGUAAAUUGCCAGUGUUUGUAAAUAGAGACUAAUGGAAGAGUAUAGAUGAAAAUCAUAUUUUGAGCAAAGUAAAUUGAGCAAGCAAUAAAGAGUAGAUAGGAAUGGCAAUCAAUAGAAAAGACAAUGGCUUAUGUCCAGUGGAGUUCUAUAUAAGGACAAAUUUCAAAAAGAAGGAGGAGUUUCAUGGCAGCCAAUUAAAAUAAAUGAACAUAAGAAAAUAUAAACAAACAGCUCACCCACCCCAGGACAGCCUCAGGAGAUCAGACCAGAUCUGAUAUUGACUAGGUACUGACUCUAGUGCCUUCGGGACAGGUGACUGGGGUGGGUGGGUGCGAUGAGUCAAUUUGCUGUGGGCAGGCACACAAGUCCUUCUAGCCUGAUGAUUCAGGAGCUGAAGGAG